This 492-nucleotide ribosomal RNA is filed under the name uncultured bacterium. Its description in RNAcentral is "partial 16S ribosomal RNA". It matches the Rfam family "Bacterial small subunit ribosomal RNA", at positions 29 to 507 of the family's 1533-position model. The record is from RNAcentral.
AGUGAACGCUGGCGGUAGGCCUAACACAUGCAAGUCGAACGGCAGCACAGUAAGAGCUUGCUCUUACGGGUGGCGAGUGGCGGACGGGUGAGGAAUACAUCGGAAUCUACUUUUUCGUGGGGGUUAACGUAGGGAAACUUACUCUAAUACCGCAUACGACCUACGGUUGAAAGCAUGGGUUCUUCUGACCUUUCUCGUUUGAUUUAGCCGAUGUCGGAUUAGCUAGUUGGCGGGGUAAAGGCCCACCAAGGCGACGAUCCGUAGCUGGUCUGAGAGGAUGAUCAGCCACACUGGAACGGAGACACGGUCAAGACUCCUACGGGAGGCAGCAGUGGGGAAUAUUGGACAAUGGGGGAAAGCAUGAUAAAGCAAUACCGCGUGGGUGAAGAAGGACUUCGGGUUGUAAAGCAAUUUUGUUGGGAAAGAAAAGAAGCAGGUUAAAACACCGCUGUUCUGACGGUACCCAAAGAAUAAGCACCGGCUAACUUCGUG